Long non-coding RNA from Amphibalanus amphitrite, 1539 nucleotides. RefSeq lists it as uncharacterized. The record is from RefSeq and is a predicted model, not a curated record. NCBI's taxonomy places the organism in Eukaryota, Metazoa, Arthropoda, Thecostraca, Balanomorpha, Balanidae. The transcript is spliced from 3 exons.
UUAAAGGAAAAGUGCCACCUUCUUGAAAUAUGAAAAUAUCGUUGGUUUUUAUUUUGACAUUACUAUUUUCCAUUUUCUUUUCAAAACCGGUGCCAGAAGUGCAUAAUUCGCUAAAAAGUAUUUCAAACUAUUUAACAUAUUGGUACUAUGUUUAUACUCUCUACCGCAGCUACUGUAUGAUGUCAUAGCAAUGACGUCACACUCAAGCCAAUCAGCCUUGAGGAGGAUAGACUCGUCGGACUGUAGCGGUUGUAAACAACUUGUCGCCCCGUGUGUCUGCCCGUGGCGCUAGUUAUCUGUCGGAGUUACCACUGACAAUGCCCAAAACAAGAACAACAAAGGCCCAAAGGUGGCUGUUUGGUAGUGCGCAAAGCUGCUGGUGGUGGUGGACGUCUCUGCCCUGACGCGCGGCGUGCGUCUGCUCAGUGUGGAGGUGCCGCUGACAGCGGUGCCGGCCGGACCGGCUGCCUCUCCGGCGGCCGACAUUGAGCGCGGCACGUGUCCGCCGCCGUUCGGGCCGCUGCAGCUGCUGCAGUCGGCGGCGCAGCUGUCCGUCUCCGUGUCGCUGGCCGUGCCGCUGGACCUGCUGCCGCGGCCGGCGCCGGCGCGCUGCGCCUACGGCCGCCUGCUGGCCGUGAGCCGUCGUCUCGCAGCGCGGCCUGCAGCGCAGCGGCGUGCCGCAGCUCAUCCAGCAGCUCAACGAGCCGCCCAGCCCGGCGGCGGCCGAGGGCGCCGCGCCGCGCCGGCCCGGCGACGUCAGCACACCUGGCAUCAGCGGCUUCUGCCUGGCCGACCGUCAGCUGCACCUGCUGUUCGCCGAGGGGCGCGCCGACGCCGAGCUGGAACAGACGGCGGCCGCGCCGCGCGCUCUGCCGCGCCGCGACGCUCGACUCUGCCACCACUCGGGCUUGCUGUUUAGGGAGCGCCUGUACCCGCGCCAGCCGGCCGUGUUCCGCGUGCUCGAGGACCGCCCGCUACGCGCCCAGCUGCUCGACACCCGCCUCUACACGUUACAGAAACAGGAGCCGGCGCGCGCCGUCCGCGCCAUCAGAGAGUGCUUCCGCACGCAGUGGCUGUCGGAAAAUGAACCUGCUUCCCAACGAGGCCGGCCUGCAACAACUGCUGGCCGGCUGUUGGCCGAAAAAAAAACGCUUUCAACCGGAUGUCAGUUGUCAAAUCAACGCGUAGUAAUGCAUUCACUAGGAUGGGCUUACGUAAAGCUGUAGAAUUGCAAAUAUAUAAUGGCACUGUUUUUUAUCCGUUCGGUAUGCAUUGGUAUCAUAUGAUCUCUCAUUCACAGACGAUCAGCUGCGAAGACCCAGAUCCGUAGUAGAGGGCUCAUCGAGUCUGGGUCCAGCUCCCCGUACUUCCUCCACUUUGGAAACACCGCAGCGCAGACCACAGUUAUACAUAAUAUUUAGUUUUCAUUCACUUCAUAACCGAAGGUUGUUUGAUAGGUGAUAUGCUGCUUGAGUUGCACCCCGGUAUAUCAAUACGAAGCUUCCGUCCCUGCCACAUACCAGUGAAGGAGGCGGCGGC